Molecule: ribosomal RNA, 852 nt
Filed under: Triticum aestivum (bread wheat)
Lineage: Eukaryota; Viridiplantae; Streptophyta; Magnoliopsida; Poales; Poaceae
Description: partial small subunit ribosomal RNA
Source: RNAcentral
AUGUUAAGUGAUUCGACGAUUACUAUAGCAGUGAAAAAGCUUGAUGGUGACCGUCAAGGAGAGAAGCAAUUCAGGGCCGAGGUGAGCUCAAUUGGACUGAUCCAGCACAUAAACCUAGUCAAAUUGAUUGGUUUCUGCUGCGAAGGCAACCACAGAUUACUUGUGUAUGAACACAUGUUUAAUGGGUCUCUUGAUGGUCAUCUAUUUAAGAAGAGCAAUGUUGAUGCUGCCGUCCUGAGUUGGAACACCAGAUAUCAGAUAACCCUAGGAGUUGCUAGAGGAUUAUCCUACUUGCAUCAGAGUUGUCGUGAGUGCAUCAUACACUGCGAUAUUAAGCCGGAGAACAUACUUCUGGAUACAUCAUUUGUUCCUAAAGUUGCAGACUUUGGGCUGGCAGCGUUUGUGGGAAGGGAUUUCAGCCGAAUUCUGACUUCAUUCAGGGGCACUGCAGGUUAUCUUGCCCCAGAGUGGCUUACCGGAGUGGCAAUCACACCGAAAGUUGAUGUUUACGGCUUCGGCAUGGUUUUGUUGGAAAUCAUAUCUGGGAGGAGGAAUUCCUCACCUGAAGAAUCAUACAACGCUAGCAGCAGCGGUAACCAGAAUGUUAAAUAUUUCCCUGUCCAAGCCAUCAGCAAGCUUCAUGGCGGAGAUUUGAAGAGUUUGGUGGAUCCACAGUUACAUGGUGACUUCAACUUGGAAGAGGCUGAAAGGGUUUGCAAAGUUGCAGGUUGGUGCAUCCAAGAUAAUGAGUUUGAUCGCCCGACAAUGGGUGAAGUGGUCCGGGUUCUCGAGGGUCAACAGGAGAUUGAUGUGCCCCCAAUGCCAAGAUUGCUUGCAGCUCAAUUUUCUUAA